GGUCAUAUUAUAUGUCAUUGGACACGAUUUUGAAUAAGGAAUGCUAUGAUGAUAAUCGUUUGCUCAUUUGGUGCACGUAGGAAAAGCGUGAUAUUAAAAUCGGACUAAAUCAUUCUAAGAUCAUCGAUAAGCUUAGGAGCGUUUCUUUGGGCUCGGAUUAAAUUCUAAGGAGGUAUCUAAAGAGGAGUCUAGUGACGCGAACGUGGAAAAGUAUGAAUUGUUGCUGAAGCCAAGGUGUUUAGUGCCAUAGUCCUAUCUUUUGAACAUUGUAUGUAUUUAAUUUGGAACCUAUCGGUCUGAACAUCUAAAUUAGCUAUGUCCUAGUUAGAAAUGAGGAAUGGUGGAUGCUAAGUAUUAUUUUGGCUAUUUUAUGACUUAUUAAAUUUAACUGUUUGGUGACUACAUAACUGUGGGGAUAUUAUUAUUCUAUGUAUUAAGAUAAAUGAUCCUACUUUUAUCCGUAAUAUUUUCAUAUAUAA
This is a long non-coding RNA of Humulus lupulus (European hop), 479 nucleotides long. RefSeq lists it as uncharacterized. The record is from RefSeq and is a predicted model, not a curated record. NCBI's taxonomy places the organism in Eukaryota, Viridiplantae, Streptophyta, Magnoliopsida, Rosales, Cannabaceae. The transcript has 2 exons.